This 484-nucleotide ribosomal RNA is filed under the name uncultured bacterium. RNAcentral describes it as "partial 16S ribosomal RNA". It matches the Rfam family "Bacterial small subunit ribosomal RNA", at positions 29 to 507 of the family's 1533-position model. The record is from RNAcentral.
AUUAAACGCUGGCGGCAUGCUUUACACAUGCAAGUCGAACGGCAGCGCGGGCUUCGGCCUGGCGGCGAGUGGCGAACGGGUGAGUAAUGCAUCGGAACGUGCCCAGUAGUGGGGGAUAGCCCGGCGAAAGCCGGAUUAAUACCGCAUACGACCUGAGGGUGAAAGCGGGGGACCGAAAGGCCUCGCGCUAUUGGAGCGGCCGAUGUCGGAUUAGCUAGUUGGUGGGGUAAAGGCUUACCAAGGCGACGAUCCGUAGCUGGUCUGAGAGGACGACCAGCCACACUGGGACUGAGACACGGCCCAGACUCCUACGGGAGGCAGCAGUGGGGAAUUUUGGACAAUGGGGGCAACCCUGAUCCAGCCAUGCCGCGUGCGGGAAGAAGGCCUUCGGGUUGUAAACCGCUUUUGUUCGGGAAGAAAUCCUCUGGGCUAAUACCCCGGGGGGAUGACGGUACCGGAAGAAUAAGCACCGGCUAACUACGUG